Biomphalaria pfeifferi is the source of this 216-nucleotide non-coding RNA. Lineage: Eukaryota; Metazoa; Mollusca; Gastropoda; Planorbidae. The record is from the annotation of a GenBank genome assembly.
GGGGGGGGGGGGGGGGGGGGGGAAGAAGCAAGUCAUUAUUAUGGUCUCUUGAAGGAAUCUGAUCCUUCAUAGUUGUUAUGGUUUGGAUGUCCCUUCAGAAUUGAAGAUUAUUUCAUUCUAACCCAAACUUCCAAAAGGAUGGAGGGGCACAUUUGAGAGAACCAGGCAGCCAUGCAUAGUUCGCAAUAUGCGUUCAUGAAAUAGUCAAAAAAAAAA